ACGCUCGACACCUACGGGAGGAGCAGUGGGGAAUAUUGGGCAAUGGGCGCAAGCCUGACCCAGCAACGCCGCGUGAAGGAAGAAGGCUUUCGGGUUGUAAACUUCUUUUCUCAGGGACGAAGGAAGUGACGGUACCUGAGGAACAAGCCACGGCUAACUACGUGCCAGCAGCCGGUAAUCUGAGCGGGCUGGCAAGGC
Molecule: ribosomal RNA, 198 nt
Filed under: uncultured bacterium
Lineage: Bacteria
Description: partial 16S ribosomal RNA
Rfam family: Bacterial small subunit ribosomal RNA
Source: RNAcentral